GGGAGCCCUAGCACAGGUGCUGCAUGGCCGUCGUCAGCUCGUGCCCGUGAGGUGUUGGGUUAAGUCCCGCAACGAGCGCAACCCCCGCCGUUAGUUGCCAGCGGUUCGGCCGGGCACUCUAACGGGACUGCCCGCGAAAGCGGGAGGAAGGAGGGGACGACGUCUGGUCAGCAUGGGCCCUUACGGCCUGGGCGACACACGUGCUACAAUGCCCACUACAAAGCGAUGCCACCCGGCAACGGGGAGCUAAUCGCAAAAAGGUGGGCCCAGUUCGGAUUGGGGUCUGCAACCCGACCCCAUGAAGCCGGAAUCGCUAGUAAUCGCGGAUCAGCCAUGCCGCGGUGAAUACGUUCCCGGGCCUU
This 362-nucleotide ribosomal RNA is filed under the name uncultured Thermus sp. RNAcentral's name for it is "bacterial SSU rRNA". It matches the Rfam family "Bacterial small subunit ribosomal RNA", at positions 1022 to 1382 of the family's 1533-position model. Lineage: Bacteria; Thermotogati; Deinococcota; Deinococci; Thermales; Thermaceae. The record is from RNAcentral.